UAGAGUUUGAUCCUGGCUCAGGAUGAACUCUAGCUACAGGCUUAACACAUGCAAGUCGAGGGGCAGCAUGAACUUAGCUUGCUAAGUUUGAUGGCGACCGGCGCACGGGUGAGUAACACGUAUCCAACCUGCCGAUGACUCGGGGAUAGCCUUUCGAAAGAAAGAUUAAUACCCGAUGGCAUAGUUCUUCCGCAUGGUAGGACUAUUAAAGAAUUUCGGUCAUCGAUGGGGAUGCGUUCCAUUAGCUUGUUGGCGGGGUAACGGCCCACCAAGGCAUCGAUGGAUAGGGGUUCUGAGAGGAAGGUCCCCCACAUUGGAACUGAGACACGGUCCAAACUCCUACGGGAGGCAGCAGUGAGGAAUAUUGGUCAAUGGGCGCUAGCCUGAACCAGCCAAGUAGCGUGAAGGAUGACUGCCCUAUGGGUUGUAAACUUCUUUUAUAUGGGAAUAAAGUGCAGUAUGUAUACUGCUUUGCAUGUACCUUAUGAAUAAGGAUCGGCUAACUCCGUGCCAGCAGCCGCGGUAAUACGGAGGAUCCGAGCGUUAUCCGGAUUUAUUGGGUUUAAAGGGAGCGUAGGCGGGUUGUUAAGUCAGUUGUGAGAGUUUGCGGCUCAACCGUUAAAAUUGCAGUUGAUACUGGCAUCCUUGAGUACAGUAGAGGUAGGCGGAAUUCGUGGUGUAGCGGUGAAAUGCUUAGAUAUCACGAAGAACUCCGAUUGCGAAGGCAGCCUGCUGGACUGUAACUGACGCUGAUGCUCGAAAGUGUGGGUAUCAAACAGGAUUAGAUACCCUGGUAGUCCACGCAGUAAACGAUGAAUGCUAGUUGUCCGGGGCGAUUGAGUUCUGGGUGACACAGCGAAAGCGAUAAGCAUUCCACCUGGGGAGUACGCCGGCAACGGUGAAACUCAAAGGAAUUGACGGGGGCCCGCACAAGCGGAGGAACAUGUGGUUUAAUUCGAUGAUACGCGAGGAACCUUACCCGGGCUCAAACGGGGAGUGACUCAGGCAGAGACGCCUGUUUCCCACGGGACACUCCCCGAGGUGCUGCAUGGUUGUCGUCAGCUCGUGCCGUGAGGUGUCGGCUUAAGUGCCAUAACGAGCGCAACCCCCGCGUGCAGUUGCUAACAGAUAACGCUGAGGACUCUGCACGGACUGCCGGCGCAAGCCGCGAGGAAGGCGGGGAUGACGUCAAAUCAGCACGGCCCUUACGUCCGGGGCGACACACGUGUUACAAUGGGUGGUACAGCGGGAAGCCAGGCGGCGACGCCGAGCGGAACCCGAAAUCCACUCUCAGUUCGGAUCGGAGUCUGCAACCCGACUCCGUGAAGCUGGAUUCGCUAGUAAUCGCGCAUCAGCCAUGGCGCGGUGAAUACGUUCCCGGGCCUUGCACACACCGCCCGUCA
RNAcentral lists this ribosomal RNA (1403 nucleotides) under uncultured bacterium. RNAcentral describes it as "16S ribosomal RNA". It matches the Rfam family "Bacterial small subunit ribosomal RNA". The record is from RNAcentral.